GUGGCCCAGCUGGGAUGGUCCUGGAGCAUCCGGGGGUGGUGUCCCUAUGGCCACGUGGUGUCCCCGUGGCCGUGCUGAUGUCCCCGCGCCGUGUCCCCAGAGCCUGCUGGUGCUGCUGGACCUGCUGGGCACCCAGCACCCCGCCAUCCACAGCCACUUCCCCCGCACCCACCACUGGUUCCUGCGCCUCGUCGCCAUCGGUGCGCUGCGGGGACACGGGGACGUGGGGACGUGGGGACACGGGGACGGGUGUGGGGUCAGGGCGUGGAUGGGGACAGGGCAUGGACGGGCCCUGCGGAUGUGCAAAGGGCUGGGGACGUGGCGUGGGGACAGGAGGGGUGACAAGGGGCUGGGGACAGGGCGUGGGUGGCACCUGGGGGACGCCCGUGGGUUUGGGGACAAGCAUGUGGUCGGCAUGGGGUGGGGUGACGUGGGGAUGGGGACAGGGUGGGUGCUGGGACACGGGCGGUGGUCGCGAGGAUGGGAAUGGGGACACGGAUGGGACGAGGAGGCUGGGAUGGGGACAAAGAUGGAGACAGGAUGGGGACGGGGGUGUCACAGAGUGCCUUUCCCUGUGUCCCCCCCUGUGUCCCCUUUGUGUCCCCGGUGCACAGAGAAACGACUGCGGAGCCUGGGGCUGCUGCACGCCUCCCCCCAGGACCAGCCCUUUUUCCGGCUCAGCCCAGCCCCGGGGCCCGUCGAGGACGACCACGUCCCCUUCCUGCAACGUGGUAACGUCCCCGUGUCCCCGUGUCCCCAUGCUGCAGUGUCCCCAAGUCCCCACCGAGCGCCGUGUCGCCUUGCAGGGAGCGGGGACCACCGUGGCUCAGCCCCGCUGUGUCCCCCCGUGUCCCCGCAGGCGUCCCCGUGCUGCAUCUCAUCCCCAUGCCCUUCCCCUGGGUCUGGCACACCACCGAGGACAACGAGGACAACCUCCACCUGCCCACCGUGGAGGACCUCUGCAAGAUCCUCGCCGCCUUCGUGGCCGAGUUCCUGCAGCUCUGAGCCACCCGGACACCCCGACACCCUCCGGCCUGAGCCCCCCCGGGGCGUCGGGGCAGCCCCUGGCUGCGCUGGGAGCCCCCACUAAUAAAAUCCUCGGUGCCUGGCGUCGUGUCCUGCGCUGUCACCCACCCCUGGGGACACCCACGGGGACGCGGUUCGGAACAGGCUCGCUGGGUGGACCAGACCUCCAAAAGUCCCAUCCGGACCCCAAAGCGCUGCCGGAUGCUUCGUCGUGGAGGUCCUCCUCGUUUUAA
This 1259-nucleotide long non-coding RNA is filed under the name Anser cygnoides (Swan goose). RNAcentral describes it as "lncRNA (ENSACDG00005011996.1)". The record is from RNAcentral. Lineage: Eukaryota; Metazoa; Chordata; Aves; Anseriformes; Anatidae.